GUUUUAAGGAAGCACGCUUCUAAAAAUGACACACUUCACCCUCCUUUGGCGAUGAGUUCAGGAAGGCUUCCUGCAGGUAGCAUCUGACGGUGGCUAAGCCAGCCAUGCAGGCUCAGACCUGGGGGCAGAAACUGAAUGUCAAACCCCUUCCUGACAUGUCUACCACGUUCCUUCCAGCAGGUUUGAAUUCCGAAGUCUCAGACAAAUGACCACACUCUGGGUGGUUUAAAACAACAGGGUCAGGCGCAGUGGCUCAGGCCUGUAAUCCCAGCACUUUUGGAAGCCGAAGCAGGCAGAUCACCUGAGGUCAGGGGUUAGAGACCAGCCUUGCCAACAUGGUGAAAACCCGUCUCUACUAAAAAUACAAAAAUUAUCCAGGCCUGGUGGCGUGCGCCUGCAAUCCCAGCUACUCGGGAGGGUGAGACAGGAAAAUCACUUGAACCCAGGUGGCGGAGGUUGAAGUGAGCUGAGAUCGCACCACUGCACUAUAGCCUGGGUGACAGAGCAAGACUCCAUUUCAAAAAAACAAAAACAAAAACAAAACAAAACAAAAAAACCCCAGGAAUUUAUUCUCUCAUAAUUCUCAAUGUCAGAAGUUUGAAAUCAAGGGGUCAGCCAUGUUGGGUUUUUUUUUUAAGGCUCUGAGGAAGAAUCUGCCCCCUGCCUCUCUCCGGCUUCUGGGGGCUGCCAGCAAUUCUUGGUGCUCCUUGGCUUGUAGAUGCAUCACCCCAACCUCUGCUUUUUUUCUUCCCUGCAUCUUCUCUCUUCUCUCAAUUUCCCUUUUCUUAUAAGGACACCAGUCACUAGAUCAAAACUCAUCCUAAUGCACUAUGUCCUCAUCCUAACUUAACCACCUCUGCAAAGACCCUACUUCCCAAAAGGCCACAGCACAGACACCAGCAUAGACCUUUAACAUAUUCUUUCAUGGGACACAAUUCAACCCACAACAGUAGCUAUUGUUCUAAUCCUUGUAUUACAGAUUAUAAACUGAGACCCAGGGAGUAACUUACCCAGAGAUACAGAAAAUAAGGGGUAUGACUCAGUUUGUAAUCUGUCUAGACCUCAUUAUUACCAUUUGCCCUUGCUUGUACCAGGCCUUUUAGUGGGUGCUUCAUUUUCAUUUCUAAUCCUUAUCUCAACUGCAGAGAGUCAUAUCCCUCAUUUUACAAACAGAGGCUUAGAUAAUUUAAAUGGCUUCCCCAGUGUCUGAGUCUAUUUGUGUUGCUAUAAAGGAAUACCUGAGGCUGGGUGAUUUAUAAAGAAAAGAGGUUAAUUUGGCUUAUGGUUCUGCGGGCUGUACAAGCAUCGCACCAAUAUCUGCUUCUGGUUAGGACUUGUGGCUGCUUCCACUCAUGGUGGAGGGGAAGGGGAGCCUGCGUGUGCAGACUCCCCUUGUAUGGAAACAGAGGAGGCAAAGAGAGGGCAGGGAGGUGCCAGGCUUCAUAACAACCAGCUCUCAUGGGAACUAAGAGUGAGAACUCACUCAUCACCACAAAGGUGCCACCAAGCUAUUCUUGAGGGAUCCACCCGCAUGACCCAAACACCUCUUAUUAGGCCUACCUUCAACACUGGGGAUCAAAUUUCACCAUGAGGUUUGCAGGAGUCAAACAAGCCAAACUAGAGCACCAAGUCACCAUGGGUAGGUAGAAAGUGGCAUAUUUGGGAUCUAAUCUGAAGUUGUGGCCAAUAAUUCUCACCCAGGUCAACACACCAGACAUCUUUGGGAUGGCUUGCUCCUCCUCAUCCUAUAGCCUCUGCCUUGAGAUGGUGUAACUUCCUCCCUGCAGUUGAGAAUCAUGACUGUAAAUGACACACUACUGGAAUUGCCCAUGUGAAGAGUGCAGAGGCAGAAAAUGAAUCACUGACCUUUACAGCACUGCAACUGAUGCCUCACAGUGGGUAAUGGUCUGACCAAGCAUUCAUCUUCUUUCCGGCAGCCAAGGAAGAGUUGAACAGAAAACCCACACAAUCAGGAAGACCCAUUAAACAGCUAUAUAUGCCACAACUAAUUACUUCCUUAUGGGGUGCUCCAUGUGGGCUGAAGAUCACUUCCCUAACAGGUGCCUUCCUGGGAAGAAGCCUCUAUUAUCACAUUGGAGAGGAACAAAGUCUCAGACAAAUCCCAUACUGCAGUUAUUUAAAUGACCUCAUUCUUCCUCAAAAUAGAAAAUCAAAAGCAUCACUUCCUGGCAACUGCUGUGCACUCUUCCUUAAUAUCAAAGAUAUGUAACACACACAGGCUCAUCAGUGCCUUACAAACAUACAAACCCUGAGCACAGAGCCCUUCAAGCAAUGCUUGAGCCAUAGCAGCUGCCUUAAAUCAACACUGAUGUGAGAAAACACUCUGCCCAAUGCCACUUCUGCAAGUUGGAGCAACACUUACCAGUUAAGGUUGUUUUUACUCCUUUGUCUUGAAAAGACACCACAAAAGAAGCAGGGCCUAAGCAUGGGCUUUGGAGGCAGGUGGACUUGAAUGUCAACCCCAGCUCCAUCAUGCACUUCCUGUGGGAACCUAGGAAAGUUAUUUCUCUUCUCUAGGCCUCAGUUUCCUUGCCUGUAAAUGGAGAUAUAGACAUCUGCCUCAGAAAGGAAUGUGAACAUACCACUCUUACCCUUGAUUCUUAACAGGGAAUAGGAGCAAUGGGCAAGAAUGAAACAUUGUUUGAAGUCUGGUUUUAUUUAUUCUAUGUGCCUCUACACUUCUAUAAUACUUAGAAAAGAUCUGGCUUAAAUAAUGGAUGUGAGCACAGUUCUGGCAGAGGCACUGCGGAUGAGAAAACAAUUGACAGAAUGAGAAGACUGAAUGAAAAGAGAUUGACAGAAGUCAUUCAUUUCUUUCAUGUGCUCAGUACUAUCCCAUUGAAUAAAACACACUCAUACACAUGGCUGGAUGGGGUUAGGGGACAAUCUGUGACGCUUUAUUGCCUGCCUGUGCUGUCUGAGAAAAUCAAGGUAGGUUUAGUUAGGGCAUGUGAAUCCCAGGGAAUGUAAUGCCCAAGCCCUAGGUUGCAAACCGUUCAGUCUAAAGGUAUACCAUGAAGGGACCCAGCCUCAAGGCCCCUUUCUCAAGUGGGAGAAAGUAUAUAGAAAGUAGAAGAAAAAAGAAUAGGCUCACAUGUUUCAGGAAAACAUAUAAGAACUAUUAGAAAAAAGAAAUUCAUAAAGGUUUUGUGAUUCAUUUAACCUUAUUAGUCAAUGUCUAUGAUUUUAAUGUUAUUACUAGAAUCACACUGUUCAUUAUUUCCCCCAGUUCGUUUAAAUCUGCAAAUACCUUAUGUUCAGUUUUACAUCUGUUAAAGCAAGAUCCUCAAGGGCAGGGAUGGAAUUCUACUCACUUCUGCAUCCCUUGACAUUGCAGUGUGUGGAACAGAGAUGACAAAUACAGGUUCAAUUUGUGCCACCUGAAAGAGUGCCAUCUAGAAGCAGUUGCUUCAAACUGCACUUCAACGGGACCCACACGCCCUGCUAAGCAACUCAAACUCAUCAUGAAAUAAAUCUGCAGAAGAAAUGUGUACUCUCUAUUCAAACUCUGAAGUAAAUAAAAUGUGUAUGAUUGACACAAUCACAAAAUGGCAUUUAAGUGGAAGUCUGCUUCCUGAAGAAAUAAAAGCCAGAGCAAAC
RNAcentral lists this long non-coding RNA (3621 nucleotides) under Homo sapiens (human). Its description in RNAcentral is "HSALNT0373168". The record is from RNAcentral. Lineage: Eukaryota; Metazoa; Chordata; Mammalia; Primates; Hominidae.